UACGUAGGGUGCGAGCGUUAAUCGGAAUUACUGGGCGUAAAGGGCGCGUAGGCGGUUCUAUAAGUCAGAUGUGAAAGCCCCGGGCUUAACCUGGGAGGUGCAUUUGAAACUGUAGGGCUUGAGAUCGAGAGAGGAAAGUGGAAUUACGAGUGUAGAGGUGAAAUUCGUAGAUAUUCGUAAGAACACCAGUGGCGAAGGCGACUUUCUGGCUCGAUACUGACGCUAAGGCGCGAAAGCGUGGGGAGCAAACAGG
RNAcentral lists this ribosomal RNA (253 nucleotides) under uncultured bacterium. RNAcentral's name for it is "partial 16S ribosomal RNA". It matches the Rfam family "Bacterial small subunit ribosomal RNA", at positions 524 to 776 of the family's 1533-position model. The record is from RNAcentral.